RNAcentral lists this ribosomal RNA (495 nucleotides) under uncultured bacterium. RNAcentral describes it as "partial 16S ribosomal RNA". It matches the Rfam family "Bacterial small subunit ribosomal RNA", at positions 28 to 505 of the family's 1533-position model. The record is from RNAcentral.
GACGAACGCUGGCGGCGUGCCUAAUACAUGCAAGUUGAGCGCUGAAGGUUGGUACUUGUACCGACUGGAUGAGCAGCGAACGGGUGAGUAACGCGUGGGGAAUCUGCCUUUGAGCGGGGGACAACAUUUGGAAACGAAUGCUAAUACCGCAUAAAAACUUUAAACACAAGUUUUAAGUUUGAAAGAUGCAAUUGCAUCACUCAAAGAUGAUCCCGCGUUGUAUUAGCUAGUUGGUGAGGUAAAGGCUCACCAAGGAGAUGAUACAUAGCCGACCUGAGAGGGGGAUCGGCCACAUUGGGACUGAGACACGGCCCAAACUCCUACGGGAGGCAGCAGUAGGGAAUCUUCGGCAAGGGACGAAAGUCUGACCGAGCAACGCCGCGUGAGUGAAGAAGGUUUUCGGAUCGUAAAACUCUGUUGGUAGAGAAGAACGUUGGUGAGAGUGGAAAGCUCAUCAAGUGACGGUAACUCCCCAGAAAGGGACGGCAAACUACG